RNAcentral lists this ribosomal RNA (661 nucleotides) under bacterium IMCC7655. RNAcentral describes it as "bacterial SSU rRNA". It matches the Rfam family "Bacterial small subunit ribosomal RNA", at positions 28 to 687 of the family's 1533-position model. The record is from RNAcentral.
AUUGAACGCUGGCGGCAGGCCUAACACAUGCAAGUCGAGCGCGAAAACACUUCGGUGUGAGUAGAGCGGCGGACGGGUGAGUAAUGCUUGGGAAUCUGCUCAAUAGUGGGGGAUAACGUGUGGAAACGCACGCUAAUACCGCAUACGUCCUACGGGAGAAAGCAGGGGAUCUUCGGACCUUGCGCUAUUGGAUGAGCCCAAGUCAGAUUAGCUAGUUGGUGGGGUAAUGGCUCACCAAGGCGACGAUCUGUAGCUGGUCUGAGAGGAUGAUCAGCCACACUGGGACUGAGACACGGCCCAGACUCCUUCGGGAGGCAGCAGUGGGGAAUAUUGCACAAUGGGCGAAAGCCUGAUGCAUCCAUGCCGCGUGUGUGAAGAAGGCUCUAGGGUUGUAAAGCACUUUCAGUGGGGAGGAAAAGCUCAAAAUUAAUACUUUUGAGCCUUGACGUUACUUGCAGAAGAAGCACCGGCAAACUCCGUGCCAGCAGCCGCGGUAAUACGGAGGGUGCGAGCGUUAAUCGGAAUUACUGGGUGUAAAGCGCGCGUAGGUGGUUUGAUAAGUUAGCUGUGAAAGCCCUGGGCUCAACCUGGGAACUGCAGUUAGAACUGUCUGUCUAGAGUAUAGUAGAGGGUGGUGGAAUUUCCAGUGUAGCGGUGAAAU